This 372-nucleotide ribosomal RNA is filed under the name uncultured organism. Its description in RNAcentral is "bacterial SSU rRNA". It matches the Rfam family "Bacterial small subunit ribosomal RNA", at positions 526 to 895 of the family's 1533-position model. The record is from RNAcentral.
CGUAGGGUGCGAGCGUUAAUCGGAAUUACUGGGCGUAAAGCGUGCGCAGGCGGUUUUUUAAGACAGGCGUGAAAUCCCCGGGCUCAACCUGGGAACUGCGCUUGUGACUGGAAGGCUAGAGUACGGCAGAGGGGGGUGGAAUUCCACGUGUAGCAGUGAAAUGCGUAGAGAUGUGGAGGAACACCAAUGGCGAAGGCAGCCCCCUGGGUCGAUACUGACGCUCAUGCACGAAAGCGUGGGUAGCAAACAGGAUUAGAUACCCUGGUAGUCCACGCCCUAAACGAUGUCAACUAGGUGUUGGGAGGGUAAAACCUUUUAGUACCGGAGCUAACGCGUGAAGUUAGACCGCCUGGGGAGUACGGCCGCAAGGUU